RNAcentral lists this long non-coding RNA (585 nucleotides) under Lathyrus oleraceus (garden pea). Its description in RNAcentral is "Pisum sativum (pea) long non-coding RNA (PSAT_LNC030163)". Lineage: Eukaryota; Viridiplantae; Streptophyta; Magnoliopsida; Fabales; Fabaceae. The record is from RNAcentral.
AAAACCAUUUGAGAUAGUUUUAAUUAUGUGUAAGGAUAGCUAUCCAUUUCAAAAAAGCAUUUUCCUAUGUAUGUAUCUACAAGUUAAUAUUCUCGAGAUUACUGUUUUCUCAAAUUUACAGGGGCUAAAACAAGAAAACUAUUGAACAAGUAUUAGAUUGGAUGAAUAGCCUAGUGUUAGCGCACAUGGUUGGAUCAUUAUGUCCAAAGCAGUGUUAUAUAAACUCAAGUUUUUGUUCUUUAAUUUUUCUGGGAAACUCUACUUUUAUUUAUCGUUUAAUAACGCCAUUUGUAUUGGUAAAAAUGCUAUAUGAAUGGUAGAUGGCGGAUUUAGAUGUAUGAUUGGUAGGGGGUUGUAUAAAGUAAAAGCUUACAUUAUUUAACUCAACUACUACUGUACUCAUCUUUAAAAUAUUUAUUGUUAUAUAAAAUAAUAUCUUAAUAAUUAUGAUGUUGGAUUAAUAUUUUUAGAUAUAUUAUUAUAAUGCUUUUAUUUUAUUUUUAAUCUUUGAAAAUAUUUUAUUUCUAUUUCAAAAUGAAAAUUGUUUAGAUUCGUACACUUAUAUAAAAAUGUAACACAUAGAAG